GGGUUGUGAGGUUAAGCGACUAAGCGUACACGGUGGAUGCCCUGGCAGUCAGAGGCGAUGAAGGACGUGCUAAUCUGCGAUAAGCGUCGGUAAGGUGAUAUGAACCGUUAUAACCGGCGAUUUCCGAAUGGGGAAACCCAGUGUGUUUCGACACACUAUCAUUAACUGAAUCCAUAGGUUAAUGAGGCGAACCGGGGGAACUGAAACAUCUAAGUACCCCGAGGAAAAGAAAUCAACCGAGAUUCCCCCAGUAGCGGCGAGCGAACGGGGAGCAGCCCAGAGCCUGAAUCAGUGUGUGUGUUAGUGGAAGCGUCUGGAAAGGCGCGCGAUACAGGGUGACAGCCCCGUACACAAAAAUGCACAUGCUGUGAGCUCGAUGAGUAGGGCGGGACACGUGGUAUCCUGUCUGAAUAUGGGGGGACCAUCCUCCAAGGCUAAAUACUCCUGACUGACCGAUAGUGAACCAGUACCGUGAGGGAAAGGCGAAAAGAACCCCGGCGAGGGGAGUGAAAAAGAACCUGAAACCGUGUACGUACAAGCAGUGGGAGCACGCUUCGGCGUGUGACUGCGUACCUUUUGUAUAAUGGGUCAGCGACUUAUAUUCUGUAGCAAGGUUAACCGAAUAGGGGAGCCGAAGGGAAACCGAGUCUUAACUGGGCGUUAAGUUGCAGGGUAUAGACCCGAAACCCGGUGAUCUAGCCAUGGGCAGGUUGAAGGUUGGGUAACACUAACUGGAGGACCGAACCGACUAAUGUUGAAAAAUUAGCGGAUGACUUGUGGCUGGGGGUGAAAGGCCAAUCAAACCGGGAGAUAGCUGGUUCUCCCCGAAAGCUAUUUAGGUAGCGCCUCGUGAAUUCAUCUCCGGGGGUAGAGCACUGUUUCGGCAAGGGGGUCAUCCCGACUUACCAACCCGAUGCAAACUGCGAAUACCGGAGAAUGUUAUCACGGGAGACACACGGCGGGUGCUAACGUCCGUCGUGAAGAGGGAAACAACCCAGACCGCCAGCUAAGGUCCCAAAGUCAUGGUUAAGUGGGAAACGAUGUGGGAAGGCCCAGACAGCCAGGAUGUUGGCUUAGAAGCAGCCAUCAUUUAAAGAAAGCGUAAUAGCUCACUGGUCGAGUCGGCCUGCGCGGAAGAUGUAACGGGGCUAAACCAUGCACCGAAGCUGCGGCAGCGACACUAUGUGUUGUUGGGUAGGGGAGCGUUCUGUAAGCCUGUGAAGGUGUACUGUGAGGUAUGCUGGAGGUAUCAGAAGUGCGAAUGCUGACAUAAGUAACGAUAAAGCGGGUGAAAAGCCCGCUCGCCGGAAGACCAAGGGUUCCUGUCCAACGUUAAUCGGGGCAGGGUGAGUCGACCCCUAAGGCGAGGCCGAAAGGCGUAGUCGAUGGGAAACAGGUUAAUAUUCCUGUACUUGGUGUUACUGCGAAGGGGGGACGGAGAAGGCUAUGUUGGCCGGGCGACGGUUGUCCCGGUUUAAGCGUGUAGGCUGGUUUUCCAGGCAAAUCCGGAAAAUCAAGGCUGAGGCGUGAUGACGAGGCACUACGGUGCUGAAGCAACAAAUGCCCUGCUUCCAGGAAAAGCCUCUAAGCAUCAGGUAACAUCAAAUCGUACCCCAAACCGACACAGGUGGUCAGGUAGAGAAUACCAAGGCGCUUGAGAGAACUCGGGUGAAGGAACUAGGCAAAAUGGUGCCGUAACUUCGGGAGAAGGCACGCUGAUAUGUAGGUGAAGUCCCUUGCGGAUGGAGCUGAAAUCAGUCGAAGAUACCAGCUGGCUGCAACUGUUUAUUAAAAACACAGCACUGUGCAAACACGAAAGUGGACGUAUACGGUGUGACGCCUGCCCGGUGCCGGAAGGUUAAUUGAUGGGGUUAGCGGUAACGCGAAGCUCUUGAUCGAAGCCCCGGUAAACGGCGGCCGUAACUAUAACGGUCCUAAGGUAGCGAAAUUCCUUGUCGGGUAAGUUCCGACCUGCACGAAUGGCGUAAUGAUGGCCAGGCUGUCUCCACCCGAGACUCAGUGAAAUUGAACUCGCUGUGAAGAUGCAGUGUACCCGCGGCAAGACGGAAAGACCCCGUGAACCUUUACUAUAGCUUGACACUGAACAUUGAGCCUUGAUGUGUAGGAUAGGUGGGAGGCUUUGAAGUGUGGACGCCAGUCUGCAUGGAGCCGACCUUGAAAUACCACCCUUUAAUGUUUGAUGUUCUAACGUUGGCCCCUGAUCGGGGUUGCGGACAGUGUCUGGUGGGUAGUUUGACUGGGGCGGUCUCCUCCUAAAGAGUAACGGAGGAGCACGAAGGUUGGCUAAUCCUGGUCGGACAUCAGGAGGUUAGUGCAAUGGCAUAAGCCAGCUUGACUGCGAGCGUGACGGCGCGAGCAGGUGCGAAAGCAGGUCAUAGUGAUCCGGUGGUUCUGAAUGGAAGGGCCAUCGCUCAACGGAUAAAAGGUACUCCGGGGAUAACAGGCUGAUACCGCCCAAGAGUUCAUAUCGACGGCGGUGUUUGGCACCUCGAUGUCGGCUCAUCACAUCCUGGGGCUGAAGUAGGUCCCAAGGGUAUGGCUGUUCGCCAUUUAAAGUGGUACGCGAGCUGGGUUUAGAACGUCGUGAGACAGUUCGGUCCCUAUCUGCCGUGGGCGCUGGAGAACUGAGGGGGGCUGCUCCUAGUACGAGAGGACCGGAGUGGACGCAUCACUGGUGUUCGGGUUGUCAUGCCAAUGGCACUGCCCGGUAGCUAAAUGCGGAAGAGAUAAGUGCUGAAAGCAUCUAAGCACGAAACUUGCCCCGAGAUGAGUUCUCCCUGACCCUUUAAGGGUCCUGAAGGAACGUUGAAGACGACGACGUUGAUAGGCCGGGUGUGUAAGCGCAGCGAUGCGUUGAGCUAACCGGUACUAAUGAACCGUGAGGCUUAACCUUACAACGCCGAAG
Molecule: ribosomal RNA, 2926 nt
Filed under: Escherichia coli
Lineage: Bacteria; Pseudomonadati; Pseudomonadota; Gammaproteobacteria; Enterobacterales; Enterobacteriaceae
Description: 23S ribosomal RNA
Rfam family: Bacterial large subunit ribosomal RNA
Source: RNAcentral